GUGGUUGCUCAAGCAUGCACUAGUCUGGCUGAUAUCAUCAUAGAUUAUGGUUUUGCAACUCUUGAGCCUUACUUGGCACAGCUUGUUGAUGCAACUUUAUUGUUGCUUCGGGAGCAUUCUGCUUGUCAAUAGAGUCAGACAGUGAAAUCGAUGAUGUUGAUAGUGCACAUGAUGAAGUGCUGAUUGAUGGAGUGUCUGAUAUUCUGCCGGCAUUUGCAAAGUCCAUGGGUGUUUUAAAUUAGUACAAUUCAGUU
Molecule: small RNA, 254 nt
Filed under: Vigna angularis var. angularis
Lineage: Eukaryota; Viridiplantae; Streptophyta; Magnoliopsida; Fabales; Fabaceae
Description: Non-protein coding transcript
Source: RNAcentral